This 63-nucleotide transfer RNA is filed under the name Sphedanolestes impressicollis. Its description in RNAcentral is "tRNA-Pro". Lineage: Eukaryota; Metazoa; Arthropoda; Insecta; Hemiptera; Reduviidae. The record is from RNAcentral.
CAGUUAGUAGUUUAUUAAAAUUUUAAUUUUGGAGAUUAAAGAUGGGAUUAUUCCCCUUGCUGA